CUCGUCUUAUAAUACUAGGGACAUUGUCUUUACCCCAGGAGAUAACAAAUUACCAUGAAGGUACAGACUCUUCAGUAGUGGAGGUAGACACAGAUGAAACAGAGACUGGUGAGGUAUCUACAGGCAACAAGGAUCCUAUGGUCAUUGAGGGGCUUGACUCCGUGACUGUGGUUGGUAUUGCCUUUGCUGCGUUCAUCAUUGGUGCCAUGAUGAUGGGAGCUCUCUGGUUCAUUCAUACACACUCAGGAAGAUUAUUUUCAUCAGGACCUUUCAAACGGAACAUGGGUGUAAGAGAGACUCCAGAACACGAGGAUGGUUAUGUUGAAACCACUCCAGGAUCUUCAGUUCCUAUAUCCACAUAGAAUUACCUCCCUUGACUGUUUAAACAUAUCUACCUCACCAGUUGAAGAGCUUGCUGUAAAUGGAACUCAUCAAAGAAAAUUCAUUCAUUUAUCCUGCAUUAACAUGAAAAAAAAAUCAUUUUCAGUAGCCUAGUUUCUAGGAAACAUCAUCACCAAAUGGGGAACCUUCUUGUGUUCAGCAGAACCGUAUAAAAUUCAUAGUGAAGACAACAAAAUAAUCUUAGAAAUAUCUACCAGUUAUUAUAACUCAGUUAUUUCAAACCUGUGCAGAUAUAGAAAUAGAAAUUGUUGAAAGACAUGUACGUAACUUGAUCAGGUAGGAAGAUUUCAUAGGAAAUCAUGCAGGAUUUCAUCUUCAAAUCUUAAAAAAAAAGUAGGGGGAAAAUUGCAUCUACUGUUGAUAAUUAAACCAUACUCAGGAGAUUUCGCCAGUAGUUUACAUUUGAUACAGGGAGUAAACUCACAGGGAUUAGUGUUACAGGAACCCACAGGGACUUGUGUUAGUUUUAAUUAUUAUAUUAAGACUGCAUCACGUUAUGCCUUCUAAGAAAUGAUUGGCUCAGUGUUCUUCGUAAGUACCUCAUUUGCAUAAAUUUGCAUAAAUUAUUAUUCAUUUACUGAACUUGAUAUAUUAUGGCCAGUUGUACAUUUAAUUUCAUUAUAUAUUAUUUGGAUUUACCCAUAAUCCUCCAAAUUCAUUCAUUAGAAAUUCACCUGUCAUCCUGAAUGGGCAUUUUUUGGACAAUGUGCAAAAUAAUCAUAUGGCAUUGCUAUAUAUAGGCUGGGCAUUUGGGAACUACCGCUGCAUUUAUAUAUUACUGUGAGUUGCCAUAGCAACACUAGACAUGUAACUAUUGGAUAAUGCCCUUGGAAGAAAUAUAUUGGCAUAAAUAAACUGUCAUAACUUUCAAACUGAUAAAAUGUGACAUUAUAUAUUGAAAGUAAAUAUAUAUGAAAUCCCGGUGAAAACAAUGGAAAUGUACUUAUAGGUGAAUCAGAUAAGAAGGCUUCAACAAAAGUGAACAAGACUAUUGUCAUCACAUAAUGUGCAUCCAUUUAUCAAUAUUUCAAUACGUUUUAGUGUAUAUAUUUAUGAAUGUCGAUUUGCAGUGAUGUCUCUACUUGUAUAUAACACUUGCAAAGUUUUUCUCAGUUAGGAAGGAGUGAUGGGACAAAGUUGUUGAAAGAUUAAAUCCUCAAGAGAUUUCGGAAAAAAUCGAGGACAGGUUGACACAUGGAAUUUAUUGAUGAAUGGAAAAAUGUUAAAUAUGAAUCCUGGAAAAGUGUUACAUAGCUGUGCAGGAAAUGUGAUAGUGAAGUUGUGAAUAUUAUUUCAUACAUACUUUAACGUUUAAGCGGGCUACGAGAUCGUCUGAUGAUUCAGGAGCGUCAGAUAUAGAUCUAACCAGUUCAUGUUUAAUAUAGUGACAAACAUCUUUACAAAAUGUUUGCUAUUUCAUUUCCAUCGGACCACUCCGGUGGAGUUUGUUUAUCUUCCUAAAAAGUGCUCUGAUUUUUUUCUUUAUUGUUUAUGAUAUUGUUCAACUAUAUAUAUUGUGAGUACCAUUCUUCGAAAUAGUGAAAAAAAGAUAAGUAUCUUGCUUCUUGUUAAAGGUACAAUAUUGAAAGGAAUAUACAAUGUUGAGAGGAACAUACAAUGUUGAAAGGAUUAUACUAUUGAAGAAUGGUCUUGCUACUUGCGGUAUUUACAAUUUUUGCCAGUCCUUGGUUUCACAUGUCAGAAGGACGUAGUAUUAUAAUAAGUGAAACCAAUGGAAAUAGAGAAAGUGUUGGAAAAUAUAUAUAUAUAUACAAGGAGACGACUCCUUGUUAUUGAGAUUGUUGGUAGAAACAAUUGAAAAAUGAUGGAGGGUGCAGAGGUUUUGCCAAACCUGUUAGCAUAAGAGUUUAAAAUGUGAAGAACAUUACACAGUCUAUAAAAUAGGGGCUCGUCAUGUAGCAUUGGACAAAGUAUUAAAAGGUUUAUGUAUAGAAUUUAAAUGAUAUGUCAAAAUUUAUUGUGUGUUAUGUUAAGAAUUGAAUUGACAAUACAGGAUAAAUACUGGUCUAGGAUUAGUGCGUGGAGUCCUUAUUUUGUUGACUGGCUAUUUUUAAAGUGUCUGAAUAGACAGUAUCCUCAGGUUAUACGGGUCAUCCUGUUGUCUGAUUUACAUCAUUUAUGACGGGUGUUUUUUUUUUUUAUAUAUAUUUGUUUUGUAAUUCAUUAUUGUUUGAGAAGACAAAACCUAUAAAAGAUUUAUUAUAUAAGAUAAUUUGAGGAAAUGUUUUAUGAAAGUAAAUGUUUCAAAGUUAAUUCCCCAAAAUAUGGUGUAUUUCACCAAAAUAGAUGAUGAUUUGUCUUUACUUGUAUGAAUCUUAAGUGUUAAAUUGUCACUCUGACUUCCAAAAAAUUGUUUUCCUUUUCAGGUGUUCUGUAAAACAAAUGUCUCUUUUCAUUCGGUAUAUUUAUAUAUAGUUAUUCUCACAUAGAUCACUAUUCUAAAGUGUAAUAAGCUAAUAGAAAGUAUGAAAUACAGUGAAAUCACUUAAUUUUGACUGUGGUUUUGUCCAACGGCUAUUUAGCCAGGAUAUGUAUUUGUGGAUUUCCACUUUCCAGUAUAAAAGAAUGGGAACUUUCUUGUUUAUGGGAAUUAUAUUUCUAUGAUAGAAGCAACCUUGAAACAAAUGAACAAAAUUUAGUCCCUCACAAAUAUUUAAGAUUUCACAGUAGAUUUUUGAUCUGUGUUUAAAAUGGAAAAUGAGCGAAAAUAUGAAAAUAAGCAAAUAUUUGGUGGAUGUUGUCAAAGGAUGUACACAAAAAUCUCUGAUAUGGUGUUAUAGUUGAAAUAACAUAUCUCAAAUAGUGAUUUUUAUGCCCCCAGCAUCUACUGAUGUGGGAGACAUAUAGUGAUUGUCCUGUCCGUCCGUUCGUUCGUCCGUCCAUCAGUCUGUAUGAGGUUAACCAAAUGGGACCGUUUUGUCUAGCAUCAAUACCCCUUACUAGAAUGACUUGAUACUAAUGCAGAUGUAACCUGUGACCAUUCCUCAUCUUCAGACAUCACCUGACCUCAGUUUGACCUUGUCCUCAUUUUGGACUUAGGUUGCUUUAUAUGGGCCAUCUCUUGGCUAACCAAAUGGGACCGUUUCGUCUAGCAUCAAUACCCCUUUUAAGAAUGAAUCGAUACUAAUACAGAUGUAAACUGUGACCAUUCCUCAUCUUCAAACAUCACCUGACCUCAGUUUGAGCUUGACCUUGGCCUCGUUUUGGACUUGGGUGGAAAAUCUAUCAACAAAGGUGCAAAAUCUAUCAACAAGGAUGCCACUGGGGGCAUCAAGUGUUUAUUGAACGCAGCUCCUUGUUUCUUGAAUAAAGUCAUUGUCAUUCAAAUGCAUACUAUUAGAUCAUUUGGACUGUGCCACAGUGAUAUAAUUUCUUUGCAUCUGAACUCCAAACAGUGAUUAUAUUCAACAAUAAAUCACUGUUUGGGAUAAAUUAUUUAUUAAGUACAUCCGAUGUUUUGGAAAAAACGCUGUCAUGAAAGAUAUAUGUCAGACAAUUAUUCAGAUGUUAAUUUAUAUCUCAUUCUACCAUUGAUCAUGUUGUUUUAAUGUAAUGUAUAAAAAAAAACAUUUAAAUGCGUAAUAUGAGUGCUCUUUGUUGAAAGCUGCCACUGUUUUUUUGUUUUUUGUUUUUUUUAAUUUUGUGAAGCUAAGGUAGAAAAAAUGCUGAAGAGUUAUUUUUUAUCAGUUCAAGUGCUAUAUUGGCAAGUUUUGUCAUAAUUUAAUGUGCUAUAUUUGAUAGUUUUUCUAGAUAUUUUAGCCAUAUCACAGCAAAAAGAACCUUGUGGUAUUUUAGAUUUUUUAGUCAAGGAAACUUUUAAUUGUCUUUUGCAUUAAGUUAACAUUCAGAUAUUUUAAUUAUCAAGAAAAUCUAGUAACAUUUUAAAAAAAACGGAAAUUUGUGAAUAGUAUAUUUUACAAGAUGUAUAAUAUGUCUGUGUGUUAAAGUGAUAUUAAUGUAACAGUAUCUCCUGCACAAGAAACUUACUUUUAUCGCCACUUUAUAGGUUUAAUAUGUUGGAAGUUAAGUGAUUUCCAAAGUAAUUAAAGUCAUUUUUACCACAAUUAGCAAAGAUAAAAUGAACAUCUAAGGAAUUUUACAAAUUAUUUUAUAAGAAAAACAUUGUUGUAAUUUAUUGCAGUUAUUAUGUAUCCUUUGAUGGUACAUAAGCAGAAUAGACUGGGUUUAAGAAUAUUUGGGAAAAAAAAUGAUAAAGUUUUUGUUAUUUUCUCACUGUUUCAGUUUUUACUGGAGUACAGUGAAAGCUCCUUGAGUCAGGCCCUCUAUAAACAGGGACCCUCAACAAACUGAUCUGAAUUGCAGCUUAAGGAGAUGGCUGAAAGUCUCUUUAUUAAAUGCCAUAAUGACAGAUAUCUGAAGAUUAAUUAUUGAUUUUAUAUGAAAAAUUCAGCAUGAAGAAUUUUCAUAAUUUUUGUGCAUAAAAAAUGCUACAAAAUCAACUGUUUGUGUUGUUAAGAAUAUAAAUUGUCAUAAUAUUUAUGAAAGAUUUCUCAAUUUCUAUAUCACGUUUGUUAGAACCUCUUCAAAUGUUUUCAAUUUAGUUUUUUUGUUUUAUUUUGUUUACUAAAAAUACCGGUACAAAGAUCUUGAUCUGAAAAGAAUUCAGUGUUAGUGAAUUAUUUGUUUUAUUUACACAUAAUUUUUCUGUUAACAUUAUCAUAAUUUUAUGAAGAAUUUUGUUUUAAGCUAGAUAAUGUUAUAGGGCUUGUGUUAUUGACGUAUUGUUUUUAUGUUUCUACCUCAACACUUUAUUUAUUUGUUGUGUAACCUGUUCAGUAGCUUGUGACAAUGUACGUCCAUAUUUUGAGUGUGUUAGAUUAAACGUUGUGCUCCAGUCAGGUCAAUAUGUUAGGGUUCAAGCAGUUGUUAGUGCCAGCCAGGGCUUCAUGCACUGUGAAAUCAUGUAAUUUUGUGGGAAUGAAGUUUUUGUGAUUUUGGCCAAAAAUAGCUAUAUCAUGGGGAUGUAAAUUUGUGGAUUAAAACGUUUGAAGAUAAGAUGUUUGGGACUUCUAUAUGUUUGUUGGAACAAAUUUUAUGGAUUUAUGCCACCAAGAAAUUCGCAAAAUGUAGUCCCCCCAUGAGACUUAAAUGACUUUGCGAUAUGUCAGCAGGUCUAUUUUUCAGUGAUGUGUAGAUUUAUCUAAAGAAAGAAGUUUUUUAUUCGUCGAUGCCAUUUGUAAUUUUCAAAAUAUAACAUAUUUGGCUGUUCAUAUUAGAUAAUGAUUAAGGAAAAAUUCAAAAGAUUCACAUAGAAUAAAUCUAUAGAAUAUGUCUAAAUUUUAAGACUUACAGUUAUUGUCGAUUUCAGAUUUCUUUCAAAUUUUAAAAGGUUUUCAUGCAGAGUUUCCUACUCCUAGAUUUACUAGAUACAGGAUUAAAACUACUUGAAUGAUGAGACAAGCAUUGGCAUUACCAUGCUUGCACCAUGACAUUUUGAAGUCCUGACUGGAGUACUAAGGUUGUGUAACUGAAUCAAAGUGUUCCAAAUCAUUUUCUGACUUCUUCAUUAAAUUUGAUUCUAAUAAUCAUUGCCAUUUGUAAAUACCAGUUAGAUCAUCCAUUGAAGAUAUGUGAAAUGUGCAGCACUCUUUUUGUUCUUUAGAAAACAUUUUAUAUAGUAUAAGCUCAUUUAUAAAUAUCAUGAUGUUACAAUUAAAGGUACUGGCAUAGUCUCUGACAUUUACAACUUUCCUAGAAUAAAUUUAAAAAGUAACAAACAAAUGAAAUCGCUCUUUUGUAAAACAAUUGUUCUUUUCAGCUAAAAUUUUCAAAAUGAGGUGAUACUUGGAUAGUUUUCAAAUAUUACCUACUAUACCUAGUUGUAGCAGAAAUGUUCAAAUAUAUAUCAUGUUCAAUUACAGCUCUGAAAUGAGAUACUUGAAUUUCGGAAAUUCUGUACUUGUAACCAUAUAGACAGGCCCAGGCAUUAUUCUUUAACUUGAAUUGUGAAAAAAAAUCAGAUUCAUUUUACAAACUUAACACCAACUGUUAUUUGCAUUCAAACAUAAUACUAAUUUGGUAUGUUUGCCCAGAGAUAUGCAAAGUUGCUAAGGCCUUGACAGAGACUAGAAUUAUUACCAGUUUGCUAUAAUUUUAGAUACAGAAAAUAAACGUAACACAGCAUUAAUUUGAUUAGCAAUUCUAAAAAUGUAAAAAAAAAUCUAUUCAAACAUUUUAAACGAUUCAAGAGGUUCUAAUUAAACUUAACACUAAUGUUAAUUUAGCAUGCAAUGCAAGAGUCUGUUAAAAUCUCAAAAAUGAAGGUCAAAGGCAUGAGCACUGUGGUUAGGGUUAGUUGGUCUGAGUAACUUUUAACUGAUUGAAAAGAUUCCAAUUAAACUUAGCACAGAUGUUAAGCAUGAUAAAAAAAGGUGUGUUGCCAGCAAGAGGCAGGAUUUUUAAGGUCAAGGUCAUAGGCAAUGGCACUGGUAUUAAUGUUAGGUUUAUUUCAAUACUAAAGAUAAUUUAAAUGUACAAAAAUGAUUAUUAAAAUGUGACAGUCAAUGCAGUUACUUUAUGAAAAAUAGGCAAUAACUUACACAUACAUGUAUAUGUAAUUUUAAUUAUGAAAAGAAUUAGUUGACUUGCAGUCUUAACAAUUAGAAGAGCAAUCAAUUUAGAUUGAUUAGACCACCACUAAUGGCUUAUAUGAAAUGAGCAUAAUAUUCCCUGUUUCUCAUUGUGUGCUUUUGGGGUUCUGUACAAAGAAUGAUUAGAGGUUUUAAAAUUAGUUUUUCCUGUACAAACAGAUUUGGUCAAAUAAUUUUGAAGAUACAAAACAACUUUAAGUUGGUGAAAUUAUGAAGAAGAAAAUGUUCAAAAUAGUUAUACCAAAACUAUUGUAAUCAGAAUUUAGUUUACAUAACUUAUCCCCCACCCCCACCCCCACAACACACACCCUUCCUCUUUUACUCAGAGAGAAUAAGUGACAUUGUUUACCUACCAGUGUUCUCUGGGUCUCAAACUGAUGCUGAAGACCAUUCUUACAAUGCAGCCUUACCAUUGGUCGAUUUAAAACUUAAAAACUUAAAUUCAGAAAAUACCAAUCAGAUGCUGGAGUUUUGUGACUGAUACUCAAAUUCUGUUUUAAAACCUGGUACCUAGAUCGUAUUGAGUGUGAUAUUUGAGUCUGACUGCAUGAAAAGCUCUUUUCUGGCAGCUAUUUUUAGAAUUAUCCUCGUUUGCAUUGUUAGCUGUAGUAUAGUAUUUAAAACAGUUUGAAACCCUCUAAACUUGCAUCUCCAUAAAAAGGGAUUUGCUGAGGGUCUGUUUCCUCAAACACAAGCAUUUCCUCAAGGGUCCAGUUUAGUUGAGGAUGUCCACUAUAAAUAUUUUUUUUCUUUUGCUUGCCAUGUUAGGCUUUAGAUGUGGUUUUAUCCCAGUUAAUUUGAAUGUAACAAAUGUAUAAGAAUGGAGUGCAAGUAAAACUUUGGAACUAUUGUACCAGUAAAUCAAGAUGUAUUCUAGAACCAAGCUUGGUUUUCAUAACAUUAAAUAGACUAUUAAAUAAGGUAAUAAAUAGUGGUGCAAGUACUGAAAAUUUUUGAUAGUUUCUGUAAAACAGGGUACUCCAACAUUUCUCAGGUGGAAUGCCCUAUUAAAUUAACAGUGAAUAACUUUCUAAAAAGUUAAGUUUCUAAUAUUCCUCAAGAUAUUUAUUUCAUUACUAAUCUUUUAUUUCUGUUUACAAUUUAAACAUUACAGAACAGUGAUAUAAAUAUUAUAAAUGUAAAAUUGUUACGUACUGGAGAUCAGGUAAUUUUGGCAUAGGCUUUACCUAUUACUAGCUAUUUCAUGUUUAGUAUCUUUGAUCAAAUGAUCCCGUUUCUUACCUUUAUUAUUAAUACUGAAUUUAGUGUCCUUGUUGUCAAGUGUUGUUUUCAACCAUAAAUAGUUACCUUUGUACCAAACAAUUGUAUUUUCUUCUUUCUUUGUACUAGAGUAUGAAUCUUGAAAAAGGACCAUCUUUCUUAAAGAUGGCUUUGAAGAAACAACAUCUUAAGUAGAGUUGCAUUGUCAAGAUUUUAUAAUUUUCUGGGGAAUUUAAAACAACAUGUUUCUUGAAUCAGAUGGCCUUGUGUAGCCUAAAAUUACUUACAACCUUCAUAGGAGUUGCUAUAUAAAAUUUCUUUGUAGGCCUUAUCUCCGCAAUAAUAUAAAUUGCAUUUCUGUGAUAAUAUUUGAUGGCAUUUUAUGAGCUAGAUUUUCAUACUGUACAUUAGAAUAAAAGUUUAUGACAGCUGUAACCACCAGUUUUUAUCCAGUUUAGAUCCUAUAAAUAACUUUUAAUGUAUUAGCACUAGUUUCGUUAUCAUGAUUUGUCCUUAUUUUCCCUCCAUUAAAAAAAAUUGACACAUCUGUAUACUGUUAGGAUUUGUAUAGUAAAAAUUUGAUAUAAAUUUGGUUUUAUUGACAAAAAUUAUCUGUCAAUUUAUUAAUGAUGGAAAAAGUCAUACCAGUGAAAGUGAUCUAUAACUCAAGAAAAUGUUUUACAUAAUAGUCCAUAUUGAAAGCAUUAAUAUCACAUUUAUAGACAUCAGCAUGUAAAACACACACAAGUCACAUGUGCUUCAAAAUAUUAUUGGAUAAUAAAAGCAUUGCUCUUUCUAUGCUUGUAGAAUAACAUCUGCAAUUUAUAGGAAAAUAUGUCAUUAAUUUUCUCUCUUGCAUGCAUAUGAAUGAACAAUCCAAGCAUUAUGCACUUCUCACAGAAACUCCUGUAAUAGAAAGUUUUUGUUUGAGCACGUAAAAACAAACUGUUGAUUUAGUAGUCAGAACAGAAGUAAAAUAUUUUCUGUGGUACAAAUACAUAAUUUAGGAAUAUACACAAAAAGUAAACUCUCAUAUAGUGGAACAUCUGUAAUGCUUAUGUUGUCAUUGUAUAUCAGUAUAGCAUACAGUGGUGCCUUGUCAUUUUCACGUUUUAGUUUUUAUAUUUCUUUCUUUUUUGUCAUUGCAAAUGUAAUAUUUCCACAUCUUGAUUAAAUUUGCUGGCCACUGUCUGAGUAGACUACAUAUUUCCUAAUUUGGAAAUACUUCAUUUCUUUAAUAACUAAACAUUUUGUGAAAACUUUGAAAUUAAUAUUUUCUACCAGAAAUGGAAAGGCUCAGGUCAUAUCACUUAAAAAUGUACAAUAUUUUCAAUGUGUUAGUGGGUCCUGUCAGUAUUUGAUUUAGGCAUGGUUGUAAUGAAGAAAAAAGCCUACUAAUAAAGUCUGUGUGCUUGAUUACUUUUUGUGUUGAGUUCUUCAGAAGACUAAGGUAGACAAAAAUAUUUGAAAUUCUGGCAUUUUUGUAACUAUAGGUAAGUACUGACAAUCAUAGGCUUCCAUAAUGUAUAAAUGCAUGUACUUUUAGCACCUAAAAUGUUAUAAGCAUUAGAUAUAGUACAUUUACAUUUUCAGACUUCAUGAAACUUUCUUUGUUUAUCCAUUACUGUUAUCUAUAGACUUGAUUUGACAUAUAAGGUACAGUGAAUUUUAAAUGCAUAAGGUGUUCCUUCUAUGAUGCUGUAUUUCCCAGAAACAAAUUAUUCUAGAGAGUUGAAAGAUGUCUGAUUGCUUGGCAUGUAUAGUAACAUUUCAUUUGGUAUAGUAAAAAAUGUGUCUUCUUUAAAAUCAGAAAGUACUUUUAAUGUAAUAUAUAUUCAUAAAGCACUCAAGCAGGUGUUUAACCUUGUCAUUUCUAAAAUGGACUGGUCUUUCAUCCAGUUUGGGCAGUACCAUUUAUUAUUCAAAGGGGCAUUCACUGAAUAUUUAUUGGUUGAAUUUCAAACAGCGUAGGCACUGCUCGCAAAGGCAGAACCACUUGCAGGCAGCAGA
This is a long non-coding RNA of Mercenaria mercenaria, 10265 nucleotides long. RefSeq lists it as uncharacterized. NCBI's taxonomy places the organism in Eukaryota, Metazoa, Mollusca, Bivalvia, Venerida, Veneridae. The record is from RefSeq and is a predicted model, not a curated record. The transcript is spliced from 3 exons.